Molecule: long non-coding RNA, 830 nt
Filed under: Bos taurus (domestic cattle)
Lineage: Eukaryota; Metazoa; Chordata; Mammalia; Artiodactyla; Bovidae
Description: long non-coding RNA NONBTAT007359
Source: RNAcentral
AACAGUUAAUAUUGAUUUAGUGUCCCUAGUCCAUGCCUCAGUGGCAGAAGCUGGAGCAUGCAGCUGCUGGUAUUUCCUUCAUUUGCAUUAUGUGGCAGCUCUUUAAUACCCUCUGGCAGCAACUGAAAGUGAUACAUGAGCCAGAGGAUCUUUGUUGAGGGUGGAGAGAAUUUAGAGAUUUUGAAAUUAAUUUCCAAAUCAAAUUUGAAAGCACCUUGUGGUGAUGCUGUAGCAUCCUCCCUUAGCACAAGUGCUGUAUAACAGAGAUCUCCAGAUGUAACCAUGCCUUUUACAUUUUUAACUUUCUGCAAUUGUUUUAGCUUUGUUACCAUGUAGUUUCACAAGAUAGAAGUGUUUUUCAACUAGGAAGCAUACUGUUCCACCCAAAAAAGUAGCCCAGGGUUAAAGCUGUAAUUUAACCAGCCAUCCAGCAGAGGUCUCUGAACUUCAUGUUUUGUAAUAAGAGCAUUUCAAACAACAAAAUGAAACCCGAUUCCUUGUAAGACUUUGAGUAGCAUAUUUUCCUGAUUAGAUUUUAGAAUUACUGUGUUUCAUGUCUAGCAAGAUCAGCUCUGCUUAUUGAUGCUUAAAGAUGCUAAAGACUUGUGUUUUCAGAUGUAUUUAUCCUAACUAGAUGAAAGCCUGGUUACCAUUAAUUUUGCACCAUAAAAAGAAAUAAAGAACUUUAUAUGAAAAUGUAGAAGACAGAAGCAACUAUCAACAUUUUAUUGUGUCACCAGCGUUAUAAAGACAUUAAAGUAGCUUGCUGUUCUUUCUAUACAGCCUAUUCUAUUAAUUGAAUAAAGCUGCUAUUUGUAUGGCUUGAUUUA